AAUUCUCAACUUCACCAAUUUGCUUUGUGUGAAGCUUGGAUCUGGGGUGUGCUGGACCCUUGUCGUUGGGUCGGCUCCUCUUUAAAUGCAGCAGCGGAGUCUUCUUUGACUUUUGCAGUGUCGGCGUGAUAAUUAUGUUGCGCCGUCGGCCGUGGGUCUCAGUCCGCUUAGAAUUGUCAUUGGACAACUUAUGCAAC
This 197-nucleotide unclassified non-coding RNA is filed under the name uncultured Byssocorticium. RNAcentral's name for it is "sequence contains ITS2". Lineage: Eukaryota; Fungi; Basidiomycota; Agaricomycetes; Atheliales; Atheliaceae. The record is from RNAcentral.